This 253-nucleotide ribosomal RNA is filed under the name uncultured bacterium. RNAcentral describes it as "partial 16S ribosomal RNA". It matches the Rfam family "Bacterial small subunit ribosomal RNA", at positions 524 to 776 of the family's 1533-position model. The record is from RNAcentral.
GACAGAGGUGCCAAGCGUUAGGCGGAAUCACUGGGCUUAAAGCGUGUGUAGGCGGGCGCCUAAGUACCUUGUGAAAUCCCCCGGCUCAACCGGGGAACGGCUUGGUAUACUGGGCGUCUUGAGCCAACUAGGGGCUGCCGGAACAAAUGGUGGAGCGGUGAAAUGCGUAGAUAUCAGGAGGAACACCUGUGGCGAAAGCGGCUCACUGGACCACAACUGACGCUGAGGCGCGAAAGCUAGGGGAGCAAACAGG